AAAGAAGAAGAAGAAGAAAGAGAUGAAUAAUGGAAAAGGAAAUGGAAAGAAUAAAGUGCAUAAGGUGAAAUAAAAUGUACAAAUCCAUAUGUGUUGACCAAAUGACAUUGAAGUCAAAGUCAAACAAUGAGAAACCAGAAAUGGGAUGGAGAUUGGAGGUCAAAUAAUAAGCAAAAUAUUUUUGGCAUUUUUAAUAUUAAAAAUAAACUUGAAUUAAAAAUAAAAGAAAGGUCAAACUUCAAAAUCACUUCAAAUCAAAC
Molecule: long non-coding RNA, 260 nt
Filed under: Lathyrus oleraceus (garden pea)
Lineage: Eukaryota; Viridiplantae; Streptophyta; Magnoliopsida; Fabales; Fabaceae
Description: Pisum sativum (pea) long non-coding RNA (PSAT_LNC016000)
Source: RNAcentral